RNAcentral lists this ribosomal RNA (424 nucleotides) under uncultured prokaryote. Its description in RNAcentral is "bacterial SSU rRNA". It matches the Rfam family "Bacterial small subunit ribosomal RNA", at positions 355 to 796 of the family's 1533-position model. The record is from RNAcentral.
UGGGGAAUAUUGGACAAUGGGCGUAAGCCUGAUCCAGCCAUGCCGCGUGAGUGAUGAAGGCCUUAGGGUUGUAAAGCUCUUUUACCAGGGAUGAUAAUGACAGUACCUGGAGAAUAAGCUCCGGCUAACUCCGUGCCAGCAGCCGCGGUAAUACGGAGGGAGCUAGCGUUGUUCGGAAUUACUGGGCGUAAAGCGCGCGUAGGCGGCCAUUCAAGUCAGAGGUGAAAGCCCGGAGCUCAACUCCGGAACUGCCUUUGAAACUAGAUGGCUAGAAUCCAGGAGAGGUGAGUGGAAUUCCGAGUGUAGAGGUGAAAUUCGUAGAUAUUGGGUGGAACACCAGUGGCGAAAGCGGCUCUCUGGUCCGGAUCUGACGCUGAGGCGCGAAAGCGUGGGGAGCAAACAGGAUUAGAUACCCGCGUAGUCC